This 612-nucleotide ribosomal RNA is filed under the name uncultured bacterium. RNAcentral's name for it is "bacterial SSU rRNA". The stretch from base 1 to 522 matches the Rfam family "Bacterial small subunit ribosomal RNA", at positions 338 to 873 of the family's 1533-position model. The record is from RNAcentral.
CCUACGGGAGGCAGCAGUGGGGAAUUUUCCGCAAUGGGCGAAAGCCUGACGGAGCAACGCCGCGUGAGGGAUGAAGGCCUCUGGGCUGUAAACCUCUUUUAUCAAGGAAGAAGAUCUGACGGUACUUGAUGAAUAAGCCACGGCUAAUUCCGUGCCAGCAGCCGCGGUAAUACGGGAGUGGCAAGCGUUAUCCGGAAUUAUUGGGCGUAAAGCGUCCGCAGGCGGUCUUGUAAGUCUGUCGUUAAAGCGUGGAGCUCAACUCCAUUUCGGCGGUGGAAACUACAAGACUAGAGUGUGGUAGGGGCAGAGGGAAUUCCCGGUGUAGCGGUGAAAUGCGUAGAUAUCGGGAAGAACACCAGUGGCGAAGGCGCUCUGCUGGGCCAUAACUGACGCUCAUGGACGAAAGCUAGGGGAGCGAAAGGGGAUUAGAUACCCCUGUAGUCCUAGCCGUAAACGAUGAACACUAGGUGUCGGGGGAAUCGACCCCCUCGGUGUCGUAGCUAACGCGUUAAGUGUUCCGCCUGGGGNGGUACGCACGCAGUGUGAACGUACAAAUAGAAGUUAGACGGCGUGUAGACGUUGCCGAACGGACGACGACGAGGGGAGGUUAGG